Podarcis lilfordi (Lilford's wall lizard) is the source of this 2209-nucleotide non-coding RNA. NCBI's taxonomy places the organism in Eukaryota, Metazoa, Chordata, Lepidosauria, Squamata, Lacertidae. The record is from the annotation of a GenBank genome assembly.
GUAGAAAUAACUGAUAAUGAAAAGGAAGAGGCACACCCUUUCCCCCAAAUGUUUAGAAUCUAGUGAGCAUCAUGGAGAAUUUCAGCACUUAGUCAUGCGCCUGCAAGCUUGGCCGUCUAUAAAAAGUGCAAAUGUGUAAGUAGAUGUUCACAUACUGCCAUGAAUUAAAAAUUCUCCUUUUAAAUAUAAAAGGUAUGCAUUACAGUGCUAAAGUGGCUCAAGAAAGUAAUUGCUGUGGCAGCUGACAUCUUAGAGAGCACAAUGCCACUACGCUAACUAACCUGGAAAGCUGUUGUGUUAUCUCUGUAGGGAUAAGCCUGGAGUCGAACAUUGUGCAUGCCAAGCAGAUGCUCUACUGCUGAGCUAUGGCGAUUCCCCAUACUUCGUGCUGCCACCUGAUUAAAGAAAUCUUGGGCAAGGCAUCAUUUGUCUCUUCAAUGAUGUGUUCUAUGUUGCAAACUGCCCUUUGGUCUCUUGAUGAAUGGCGGUAUCUCAAGGGCAUAAGCCUGGGCAGUGUGUAUGGAGGUCCUGGGCUGCCCAGAUGACAAGACACCCCCCCCCCCGGCCUCGCUGGUGUGGUCCAGAUCAGAACAAUAUGUUUGGCACCUGCUUGACUGCUGGAAGGAGACAUACAAGACACCGUAGGGACUCCAGAUUUGUACAGCGUUUACUUCUUAGCCUUUUCUUCUCCCAAAGGUAUCCCACAAGGCUACAGAUUGUUCCUCAGGAUUCACUCCCCAAGCUUUUCUCACAAAUGAGUACAGCUGCAAGGUAGCCGAGGUUUAGGAUCAGAGUUUUCCUUCUAGAUGGACUACCUUCCCAGGUUGAAAAGCCCCACCUGCUCAUUUCCUUGUACCGCAUGUGCAGAAACCACCUUCUUGACUGUUGGACCCGCUAUUGCUCUUGACUGCUCAAUCCAGCCAAGCCUGUCUUCACAGGCGGAAGAUAGGUAAGUCCCUAAGUCAUCAAGGGUUUAAGACCCAUCAGCUACCCUCACCUGGUUUAGCAGACCAAAGCCAUUACCCAAGAUGUGGCCACAUUUGCAUACCUACAGCUUCUAGGAGCCACAAAGGGUGCAGGGUGUGGACCAAUGGUGGAUGAAUAAUAACAGUAAAAGUCAAUUCAAUUAGCAAUUAAGCAUUUCUGAAAGGGGAAGUGGCAUAGGUGUGCAUGUUUCCUUUUAGAUAAUGCAUAAAAACAAAGUAUUAGUCAUUAUCAGAGUAUGAUUUAUUGCUUUUGAAGUGAGAUUAGCAGCUACCAAGUGCAGUUAUUUCUACAGGGAUGUAACACAGUGGCAGGGGUCUGCCUCAGUGGGCAGUUGUGCCACUGCACUGUGCACUCACUGCAGCUUCUGGGACAAGCUCAAGGGCAGCCCCACACAGAGCACAAGUCACCAGGCUUUUGAGUUUAGACCACCGAGGGAAACCCUUGGUGUGUAUUAUCACCAGUUUUAAAAGCCAAGAGUGUGUUUGCAUCUUGGAACAAAAUUAUACUAGAAAAAACAAACUGCCUCAUAAUAUGUUAUCGUCAUACUGAGCUGCUAAAGAUUUUGUGAUCUGUUGUGUUCUAGAUGCUGCCUUCAUGUUCACUGAGCUCAGUGUCAAAACAGUGAGAGUAUUCAUAAUUAACCGCCCCAACUGCAGGUCACAAAGGGACGUGUGUGGUGCUUCUUUAAAUCCCUAAAUCUUCUUGCAGAAGCAAAGAUUGCAACAAAAAACCUUGUGCCGACAUGACCCUUGACUGUUACAACGUGCCCAGACCAGGCUCUCUGUGGCAUUUGAAAUACUUAACUCUGAGUUCUGGCAGGCUUGUUACAAAAAGUUGUCUCAUGCUGCCUAAUCUUCUGAUGUUUAUGUUAUUAUUGGUCUCCAAGGCUAUCUUGGGAGAAAUCCCAAGGCUGGAGAAAUAAAUCACCACAAAUUUGAUAACGGAAAAAUUAAGAAGGUCCACCUCCUAAGCAACAUCCUGGACUCUUGGCCUUGGCUCCAGGCGCCAAGAAAGAGCCAGAAAAAAACAUGCUUCAAAGAACUCUCUGGUGUGACUGUCAAUUGGGUCCUGUUAGGCCUGAGGAACCAUCAACUUCAGCAAUGUUCACCAAACAGCAAAGAAGCCCUGGUGGAUCAAAGGACAACCCUGUGGGAGACUUUGUGCAAGGUGCCUGGAACAUUUGAUGAACCACAGUGACCAUCCUAGAGUUGUAGCUCCAUCC